GCGUUCAUUUCAGUAGCACAUAUACUAAAAUUGGAAUGACAGAGAGAUUAAUGGUCCCUGCACAAGGAUGACAAACAAAUUCAUGAAGUGUUCCAUGUUUUU
Mustela putorius furo (domestic ferret) is the source of this 102-nucleotide small nuclear RNA. The record is from Ensembl. NCBI's taxonomy places the organism in Eukaryota, Metazoa, Chordata, Mammalia, Carnivora, Mustelidae.